ACGAUUCUGACAGAAACAACCGGCGCACAAUAAACAGUUAUCUUUUGACUCGGCUUUGGCCACAGCCCUUAAAGAUUUGAAGCUAAAAUUCAACUUGAAAGAUAAACAAAAGACGGCACUUAAGUGUUUCAUUGAGAAGAAAGACGUAUUUGGACUUAUGCCGACGGGAUAUGGCAAAUCCUUAAUAUACCAGUUGGCUCUGCGGCUCCGCUGGUUGGGAAGCUAAUGGGACUUAGCCACAAUCUGCCGGUGCUCUCGGAACUACGUCAGCCUAUUCGUUACGUUGAUUGGUUGUAUACCUACCCAAUUGCUGCAGAGGGAUUUGAUGGACAACCUUUUAGCCCGCCUCCCUCCCUGUCGAGCUUCCCUAGACCCUUGUGCCGUCAGAAACAUGGGAUCUAGCAUGGCUAGGCUAGGUUUGAGCGGUACCGUUUCGUAAUCGUUUCAAGUCCAUAAUCGACAUAAACAACCUAAUCUGUCCUUACAUUUACAUUACCAACUGCAGUCAUGCUCUCACAUCCAGCAGAUAUUGUGUGUUGCGCUGCGGUUCUUUGCAAAUGGAAGUUUUUAUAUAAUAUCGGAGAUGCAGAGCACUACAGUAAGACAACUGUAUGCAGGACAGUCAGAAAAGUUUUCCUGGCUCUGAAACGACUUUUACUCAUCAUUGUGGACAUAAACCUGUCAGAACACCAAGAGGAGUUCCACAGAAUUGCAGGAUUUCCCACUGUGAAUAGCUGCAUAGAUGCACACACAUCCCCAUCACAGCUCCCUCACAUCAUGAAUAGGAAGUCCAUUCACAACAUAAAUGUGCAGAUCAUAUGUGAUGCUGCAUACAUCAUUUCUAAUGUGGAGGCCAAGUGGUCUGGGUCUGUUCAUGACUCCAGGAUUUAUGGAGAGUCUAACCUGAGCAACAGACUGCAGCAUGGAGAGUUUGAUGGCCUUCUGCUGGGUGACAGGGGUUACCAUGCCAACCCCGGCUGAUGACCUCAUACCCUGACCCUGAACCAGGCCCCCAACAGAACUUCAACCGGACUCACUGCAGGACCAGAGCCCAGGUGGAGAUGGCUAUAGGCCUGCUGAAAGCCCGUUUCCAGAGCCUACGUCUCCUCAGGGUGACCCCUGAGAGGGCCUGUGAUAUUACUGUGGCAUGUGUUGUUCUUCAUAAUAUUACUAUUAGAGGAGAGCAACACCCUGCCCUACAAACUGAAGACCCAGAUGAUGACCCCAUCCACCUGCAGCUAUCCAGGACAGCAGAGCAGUCAGAGACACCGUAUGCAAUAAUCACUUUAGAGUUUAAGUCACCAUCUACAAUUCUACAAUUUCAUUUGGCAGAUGCUUUUGUCCAAAGCGACGUACAACACAAGCAAGAAUUCAGACAUAAGGAAAAACCUGUAGUAAGUGCAAAAAGUGUUUCAAGUGCGAUUGGUCAAAGGUUGCAGAAGAAUUGCCAACCCCCCCCCCCCUUUUUUUUUAAAUCUUUGUCAGCGCUAAAUAAAUGCUGGGUUUUGGACCACCUGACUUAUUCUACCCCUAAGGUAGAGUCAGAUUAAGUGCCUAUGUGUUCUCUAAACAAUUGAGUCUUCAAUUGUCUUUAAAAGUAGAAAGGGACUCAGCAGAAUGCACAGAGUUUGAUAAUUUGCUCCACCAUUUGGAAACAACAGAGGAGAAGAGUCUGGCUAGAGAUAUCGAGGGUUUUGGACCACCUGACUUAUUCUACCCCUAAGGUGGAGUCAGAUUAAGUGUCUAGGUGUUCUCUGAACAAUUGAGUCUUCAAUUGUCUCUUGAAAGUAGUCACCAUCAUCACCACCACAGCAAAUAAAGACAUGAUACACA
Molecule: long non-coding RNA, 1833 nt
Organism: Acanthochromis polyacanthus (spiny chromis)
Lineage: Eukaryota; Metazoa; Chordata; Actinopteri; Pomacentridae
Exons: 4
Source: RefSeq, a predicted model, not a curated record